This 160-nucleotide ribosomal RNA is filed under the name Phacellothrix cladochaeta. RNAcentral's name for it is "5.8S ribosomal RNA". It matches the Rfam family "5.8S ribosomal RNA". From Rfam's summary of the family: 5.8S ribosomal RNA (5.8S rRNA) is a component of the large subunit of the eukaryotic ribosome. It is transcribed by RNA polymerase I as part of the 45S precursor that also contains 18S and 28S rRNA. Functionally, it is thought that 5.8S rRNA may be involved in ribosome translocation. The record is from RNAcentral. RNAcentral also lists the same sequence under 3 other names. Lineage: Eukaryota; Viridiplantae; Streptophyta; Magnoliopsida; Asterales; Asteraceae.
ACGACUCUCGGCAACGGAUAUCUCGGCUCACGCAUCGAUGAAGAACGUAGCAAAAUGCGAUACUUGGUGUGAAUUGCAGAAUCCCGUGAACCAUCGAGUUUUUGAACGCAAGUUGCGCCCGAAGCCACUUGGUUGAGGGCACGUCUGCCUGGGCGUCACG